Molecule: long non-coding RNA, 1828 nt
Organism: Homo sapiens (human)
Lineage: Eukaryota; Metazoa; Chordata; Mammalia; Primates; Hominidae
Source: Ensembl
GUUACUCUUUUGUACUUUGUCUUUUUCUUUUAUUUUCUUUUGAGCGAUUGUGCGAACAUAGCAUAGCACGCACUAUGCCUUCUGUGUUGUAGCUGCCUGGCCAGGGCGACUGGCGGAUAAGGUCUUGUGCGUGGCCUCGAGGCUUAAAAGUAGCAGUGGGGCUUUGUGAAGGACAAAAUGGCGAUGGCGGGCCGUGUAGGUCCCCCUUCCUAUGAUGAGGACCUUUUCACAGACCUGUACUGAGCUCCGUGAGGAUAAAUAACUCUGAGGAGAUGGGCCCUGCAAGCCUCUUGCUUAGCCGUCUGUUCAGAAAAUAGCGUUUUCGAAAUGCCCUGAGUUGACCUAAUGUCUUAUUGGGCUCCUGUCUGCAGGAUUUACGCGCACGUUGGAACCGAAGAGAGCUCUGUUGUUGCAAUGUUCAGCCCACAAGAGCUUACUGGUGAAGGAAUGGGACAAGACCCAUCUUUAUGCAAAGCCAGCGUUACAGUAAUGUUCCAGCAUCUCAUAAUCUAUCCUGGGGAAUUCAGCUGCCUCCCAGGGUGAAUACAGGUAUUCCUGAUGACAGUCUGCCUCUAUCUUACAGAGCAGCUUGUUGCUAUAUACCAUUGAAAAGCCUUCAGAGCUGAGAGGUACUACUAACCAAUAACCUGCUUGGCUCAAAGGGCCAGCACCUUCUCUCUAAAGCCCAAGAGGAGUUUGAGGUAAAUGGCUUUGCAAUAGUUACCAUCAAUGGCUGCUAUAUAAAAUUUUCUGUGAUUUUUGUGUGUGAUAGCACUGUGGUCUGGGUGAAUGUACACAGACAUAACUGGCUUAACCCAAAGUCUUUGAUCUCCUGAACCACCAGUGAUGAAUUGCUGCUCACCAGUGAUGAGUUGAAUACCGCCCCAGUCUGAUCAAUGUGUGACUGAAAGGUAUUUUCUGAGCUGUGAGCCUGCCUUCCAGUGACAUGUUCUAAAAAUUGCAAGUUAUUUGAGGAGGCUUUACAGCCAAUAGGAAGUUCUUGGGCUAAGUAGUGUUUCCUAUAAAAUGUGCCCUGAAACUUCUUUCUGCCAAGCAAUAGAUACAAUUGAGAGAUUGUAAAAUGUGACAUAGAAUGAAAGUCUCUCAAGACUACAUUUUUCUUUCUUGAUUUUGCAGGAAAACUAGGUGUCUGUGUUCACUCCAGGCUGAAGUUACAGGUCUGAGCAAAUAAGGUGUAUAAAAAAUGGAAUCUGUCUUGGAGGACAUCAGAAGGUGAAUUUUCCAAGUUCUUGGACAACCUAGCUGUUGAAAAGCUUUCUGGGUUUGGGGGGUAUUUCAGAUGUACCUUAAAGUGUUAGCAGACACAGAUUAAGACACUGGGAGCCAAUGAAACAGCAGUUGAGGGUUUGCUGUGUAUCACAUUUCUGUAUUUUAUCACCCCCUUCCUGCAACAUUAUUUAUCUGGAAUCUACCUGCCCUUUUGUUUUUUAGAUACAAGGGCUUGGUUUUGUUACCCAGGCUGGUUUCAAGGCCAUAGCUUUAAGAGAUCCUCUCACCACAGAUUUCCAAAGUGCUGGGAUUGCAGGUGUGAUUCAUGGCACCCAGACUUUGCUGCCUUUCUUACAUGAUCCAGGCCCAGAACCCAAACUCAGGCACUGUAUAGAUGACCACUUUCGUAAACUACUGACCUAGCUUGUUGCCAAUUGUUGAUUGAACUUCCCAUAACUCCACUUCGUGUCUGUUCCUCUGUAUACAGCCACCUUCUGUUCCCGUCAUGAGCCUUUAGGUCUCCAUUUGCAUAUUGCAAAUACUAUGUUCCAUGUAGGUAGCUCAUUCAGGGCCUUGCUCUUCACUUCAAAAAAGGUUC